RNAcentral lists this ribosomal RNA (494 nucleotides) under uncultured bacterium. RNAcentral describes it as "partial 16S ribosomal RNA". It matches the Rfam family "Bacterial small subunit ribosomal RNA", at positions 28 to 507 of the family's 1533-position model. The record is from RNAcentral.
GACGAACGCUGGCGGCGCGCUUAACACAUGCAAGUCGAACGGAAAGGCCUGCUUUCCCUUGUGGAUUGCGGGUACUCGAGUGGCGAACGGGUGAGUAACACGUGAGUGAUCUGCCCCCAACUUGGGUAUAAGCCUGGGAAACUGGGUCUAAUUCCCGAUAGGACUGCAGGGUGGUGCCUGUGGUGGAAAACGAUUUUCUAGUGGUUGGGGAUGAGCUCGCGGCCUAUCAGCUUGUUGGUGGGGUAAUGGCCUACCAAGGCGGCGACGGGUAGCCGGCCUGGGAUGGUGGACUGCCACAUUGGGACUGAGAUACGGCCCAGACUCCUACGGGAGGCAGCAGUGGGGAAUAUUGCACAAUGGGCGGAAGCCUGAUGCAGCGACGCCGCGUGGGGGAUGACGGCCUUCGGGUUGUAAACUCCUUUCGACCGCGAGGAAGCCACCUGGUUGGAAGGGUGGUGACGGUAGUGGUAGAAGAAGCACCGGCUAACUACGUG